AGCAAACACAACAUUCGACCUCCAUCACGUUUGUGUACGCCAGCCGUCUUCAGAUCAACUUACUGCUAGAAGUGCUGUAGUUCAUUGAUUGUGUUGCACGAGUGGCGGAUCGCGAAAUUGGUACUUUGUUCUGUAAGCUGUGUGCAAAUUUUCUCGUGCUGUCGUCCGCCCUUCGCCAGUGUUGUAAUAUUAGUUCCUUUGCUGCUGGCAGCAAAAAGCUAUAACGAAUGUCAUUGUGGUAUUCGCACCAACAAAGCAAAGAAAAGCCAGCUCCUGGGUGAUUCCAGCUUUCCACUGAAAAUCAAAACAACAACACAAAAGGGAACGGCAGAUCAAGAACGGGCAGCAGAUCGGUUCGAGCGAGCACUAGUUUUCAGUCUCGAGUAGAGAAACGACGCGAGUGGACAAGUGAAUUCUCCCCCUAUAGACCGCAGAAACUAAACGAAGGAUUAGUCAAGUGGAAAAAAAGAGAAUCGUUUAGUGCUGUGUAUUUUAGUGGAAUUCAGUGUACAGCUCAAUAACGAGCGGAAACAUACCCGAGUGGAAACAAAGUGGAAAAACAUGAGUGAAAUGUCUUGCAAGGGCAGCCCAACGUCGAGCGCUAGCGCUCGGAUUAGCCUGGUCACAGACGAGAGUCAUUUCAGCCUGGCCAGCCUCAAUUCUUCCGCCAGCCAGGACGAGUUCUUCCGGUGCAGAGAGCACUCGGAAUUGGUGCUCAGGCGUCUGCAGGAACAUCUGCAGGACGAGAAGCUGUGCGACGUGAUCUUGAUCGCAGGAUUAGAUGGCAAGCGAAUUCCCGCGCAUCGCCUCGUUCUAUCGGCCUCAUCGGCAUACUUCAGUGCUAUGUUUACCGGUCACUUGCGCGAAAGCCAGCAGGAAGAAAUCACACUUCAGGAAGUGUCCGGAGAGCCACUCUGGUUGAUCAUUCUGUACUGCUAUAGCGGGGUGAUCGAACUGCGCGAAGAUACGGUGGAAGCGCUACUUGCAACCGCCUGCCUGCUUCAGCUUACAACGAUCGUGAACGCGUGCUGCACCUUCCUCGCCCGCCAGCUACAUCCGUCCAACUGUCUCGGGUUUGCGCUGUUUGCCGAGCAGCAGGGCUGCACGGCGCUGCUCAAAAUUGCCUCCGCCUACACCUGCCAGCACUUCAUGCAGGUUUGGAAGAAUCAGGAGUUCUUCCAGCUGGACUCAACGCAGCUAGCACAUCUGUUGAAGAGUGACGAUCUGAAUGUUCCUAACGAGCAGGAAGUGUUCCACGCGCUGAUGGCUUGGAUUCAGUUCGAUGCUGAUAAUCGCAAGAAGUACAUCCCAGAUCUGUUGGCAUUGAUACGGUUACCGCUGCUGCAGCCAUCGUUCAUCGUCGAUCACGUGGAAGCGCUUUGCGGUGCUAACGAGUGUCAACAGUUGGUGAUGGAAGCCUUCAAGUGGCAUCUAAUUCCCGGCAGAAGAUCUCUGAUAUCAACGCAACGAACUAGACCGAGAAAGUCCACCAUUGGGAAACUGCUGGCAGUUGGGGGAAUGGAUGGUCACAAGGGAGCUAUAAGCAUAGAAAGCUACGAACCACGGCUAGACAAAUGGACACUGCUGAAAAAUAUGCCGGCUAGGAGACUUCAGUUUGGCGUGGCCGUUAUGGACGACAAGCUGAUUAUUGUGGGAGGAAGAGAUGGCCUCAAGACACUCAACACGGUGGAGUGUUUCGAUUUAACCACGAUGGCUUGGGGAUCAAUCGUUCCGCCAAUGGGAACGCCGAGACAUGGUCUGGGGGUAGCAUUCCUGGAAGGACCACUGUACGCAGUGGGAGGCCACGAUGGUUGGAGUUAUCUGGCUACGGUGGAGCGAUGGGACCCCGCUGCUCGUACGUGGAGCUAUGUUGCGCCAAUGGCAUCGAUGAGAUCGACGGCCGGAGUGGCAGUGCUCGGUGGAAGGUUGUUUGUUGUUGGUGGAAGAGAUGGAAGCGUAUGUCACCGUACAGUCGAAUGUUAUGAUCCUCACACGAAUAAAUGGACACUGCGCGCACCAAUGAAUAAGCGCCGUGGCGGAGUAGGGGUUGGUGUUCUCAAUGGCUAUUUGUACGCCCUGGGAGGCCACGAUUGCCCUGCCAGCAAUCCAGCCGUGUACAGAGCUGAAACGGUGGAACGUUACGAUCCCACCACCGACACAUGGACUUUGAUCGCAUCCCUUAGCGUCGGACGUGACGCGAUAGGGGUUAGCGUUCUUGGUGAUUGGUUGAUUGCCGUUGGAGGCUACGAUGGAAAUCAAUAUCUGAAAACCGUUGAGCAAUACGACACCGAGAGCAACGAGUGGCAGCAAAUAGCACCGGUCAAUUAUAGCCGAGCGGGUGCCUGCGUUGUGGCGAUUCCGAAUAAUUUUACAACCCCCAGUGGAACAACGGUCGUCGGCACUGGUACCACCUCGAGCUCAAUGGGUGCUUUGGCCGCUGUUUCGUCUUCCUCCUCGACAAACACAACGGUUUAGUACAGUUCCCUAAGGAAUGCGAGUGGCGCUUCUCUCCUAGCGGCUUCCUCGAAGGCGCUACAAAUAAUCCACCAUCUCGCGUAACAGAGGAGCAGGUUCCUCUCGCACCGGUAAUUACUACUAUAGGCGUCAGUUUAGAAUCUAUGAUUAUUACGUUUAAAGAAGAAGAAAAAACGAAGCGCUGCCCAAAAGAUGAAGAUAACAAACCCGCGAUAUGAGCGUGCGCUACGUCGUGAAGACGGCUCUUGUUUUCUGCUGUGAUCCUACUCGUAUGAAUUAUUUUAUGAUUAUUAUGAUUUGCUAUUGCCAAGUGGCAAAGUUCCAGAGCUCCACAUCUCAAAGAAAAAUGGAAAUGAACGGCAGUUCCAGUCGCUCUCACCACCCUACUACCAUGGAAAGUUCGGCUUCCGAUGGGAGCGCCCAUUCCAGAGUCCAGUGAACGUAAUUGAUGGUUGUUCGAGCCAAAGAUUUGCAGCCAAAAUAAAGAGAGAGAGAGAGAGAGAGAGAGAGAGAAAAAAAGAAGUGCGGUGGGAGCGAUGGGAGGUUUUUUUGUUUCAAAAUCUGUGAUCGGCGCUAGCCCGGACGUUAUAGAGAAGGGAGCAUUUCUUUUUUGGUUUACGGUCUAUUUCUGUGUCGAACUGUGAAAUAUUUCCUUCAUCUUGUGACUGUUAGGUUAAAUUUUGAGAGUAAGAAAAAACGGUUCCUUGUCCACCUACAUAGGGAGGGAACCAAAUACGUGAUAAAGCCUUUUUUCACAUAUAUUUUGAGAUUAGAAUUUAGAUAGCAAGAGGGAGGAUAGCUGUAAUUGGUUCGAUAGUAGUAAAAAGCUUGAACGCAUUUUCCGGUGAAUUUUGCAUUCUCAGAUAGGAGGUAUAUUGUGAACGCUUGAUGGAACCUAGCGGAGUAAAGCAUAAGUAGUACGAACAUUGAGCAGCGGAUCUUACAACAAUUUCAAAGAAACUCAAAACGAAUAACUGUACAAAAAAGUACCACUUUUGAUACUAUUUAUACGUAACUAUACUGCAGAUCAAUUAAUAAAUGAUAUUUUAAUAACGAA
Toxorhynchites rutilus septentrionalis is the source of this 3532-nucleotide RNA transcript. It is a transcript of the gene named kelch-like protein 5, with no coding region annotated. The transcript is spliced from 10 exons. The record is from RefSeq and is a predicted model, not a curated record. NCBI's taxonomy places the organism in Eukaryota, Metazoa, Arthropoda, Insecta, Diptera, Culicidae.